CAAUAGGUUGAUGGCGACCGGCGCACGGGUGAGUAACACGUAUCCAACCUACCGGUUAUUCCGGGAUAGCCUUUCGAAAGAAAGAUUAAUACCGGAUAGUAUAACGAGAAGGCAUCUUCUUGUUAUUAAAGAAUUUCGAUAACCGAUGGGGAUGCGUUCCAUUAGUUUGUUGGCGGGGUAACGGCCCACCAAGACAUCGAUGGAUAGGGGUUCUGAGAGGAAGGUCCCCCACAUUGGAACUGAGACACGGUCCAA
RNAcentral lists this ribosomal RNA (255 nucleotides) under uncultured bacterium. Its description in RNAcentral is "partial 16S ribosomal RNA". It matches the Rfam family "Bacterial small subunit ribosomal RNA", at positions 78 to 334 of the family's 1533-position model. The record is from RNAcentral.